AGUGAACGCUGGCGGUAGGCCUAACACAUGCAAGUCGAACGGCAGCACAGUAAGAGCUUGCUCUUACGGGUGGCGAGUGGCGGACGGGUGAGGAAUACAUCGGAAUCUACUUUUUCGUGGGGGAUAACGUAGGGAAACUUACGCUAAUACCGCAUACGACCUACGGGUGAAAGCAGGGGAUCUUCGGACCUUGCGCGAUUGAAUGAGCCGAUGUCGGAUUAGCUAGUUGGCGGGGUAAAGGCCCACCAAGGCGACGAUCCGUAGCUGGUCUGAGAGGAUGAUCAGCCACACUGGAACUGAGACACGGUCCAGACUCCUACGGGAGGCAGCAGUGGGGAAUAUUGGACAAUGGGCGCAAGCCUGAUCCAGCGAUACCGCGUGGGUGAAGAAAGCCUUCGGGUUGUAAAGCCCUUUUGUUGGGAAAAAAAAGCAGCAGGUUAAUACGCCGCUGUUCUGACGGUACCCGAAGAAUAAGCACCGGCUAACUACGUG
Molecule: ribosomal RNA, 492 nt
Filed under: uncultured bacterium
Lineage: Bacteria
Description: partial 16S ribosomal RNA
Rfam family: Bacterial small subunit ribosomal RNA
Source: RNAcentral